This 777-nucleotide long non-coding RNA is filed under the name Brassica rapa (field mustard). RNAcentral's name for it is "long non-coding RNA (BRAP_LNC002255)". Lineage: Eukaryota; Viridiplantae; Streptophyta; Magnoliopsida; Brassicales; Brassicaceae. The record is from RNAcentral.
UUGAUCCUGACGGUGAAUAACCCGGUGCAUACGACGGAGGAGCUGGCGGAGAAGUCACCGGAGAAGUUGCCGGAGAAACAGGGGAAGAUGAUUUAGGUGACAUUGAUCCCGGCGGUGAAGAACCCGGUGCAUACGACGGAGGAGCUGGCGGAGAAGUUGCCGGAGAACCAGCGGAGGAAGAUUUAGGUGGCAUUGAACCCGGCGGAGAAGUCACCGGAGAAGACGACGGAGAACCAGGGGAAGAUGAUUUAGGUGACAUUGAUCCCGGCGGAGAAGAUGACGGAGAACCAGGGAAUGAGGAUUUAGGUGGCAUUGAUCCCGGCGGAGAAGUCAUCGGAGCAGAGGACGGAGAACCAGGGGAAGAGGAUUUAGGUGGCAUAGGUGCGGGUGGAGAAGUCGACGGAGACAUAUGAGAGGAAGAUUUAGGUGCCAUUGAACCUGGUGGAGAAGUUGCCGGAGACUUAGCGGAGGAUGAUUUAGGUGGCAUUGAUCCCGGCGGAGAAGUCACUGGAGAAGAAGACGGAGAAACAGGGGAAGAUGAUUUAGGUGGUGUAUGUGCCGGUGGAGACGUCGCCGGAGAAACAGGGGAUGAAGAUGAUUUAGGUGGCAUUGUUCCCGGUGGAGAAGUCACCGGAGAAACAGGGGAAGUAGAUUUAGGUGGCAUAGGUGCCGGUGGAGAAGUCGCCGGAGAAACAUGGGAAGAAGACUUAGGUGGCAUUGAUCCCGGCGGAGAAGUCACCGGAGCAGAAGACGGAGAAACAGGGGAAGAAGAUUUAG